This 785-nucleotide long non-coding RNA is filed under the name Homo sapiens (human). RNAcentral describes it as "CAV2 divergent transcript, transcript variant 4 (CAV2-DT)". The record is from RNAcentral. Lineage: Eukaryota; Metazoa; Chordata; Mammalia; Primates; Hominidae.
GCAGUGGGCGGCGACGCCGGCAGCUGGGACGAGGAGGGCCUCCUGGUCACCCUUCUGGGGGCCCGUACUGUCAUGCCUCAGAGCUGGCAAGUCGUCCCAGGGAAGACAACGGCCUUCCUGGAGGGAGGGAACCUUGUGGUUAGGCGCAUGGGGUGCGAAGCAGAAAAGAAAGUACAGAGAAAAAAAAAGAAUGGAAUACACAUGAAUGCCGAACCACAUUGGAUAUGUAGCUGUUCAUGAAGAUAUUCCAGGGAAGGCCUAUCUAGUAGAGCCUCAAAUCUAUUUGAAUACAAAUGGCACUCAUUAAGGACAUCUGUCUUCUGUAAUGUCUACACAAAGUCUUACCGGGGUCUUCUUGGCUCUUAUUGACGGCUGAUGAAGGAGGGGUUUAUAAAGAAAACAAGCCAAAACCUGAAUAACUUGCUACUGAGAGCAGCACACAUAUUUUCCCAAAGUGCAAAGUUGAGAAGAAGUACAAAGCUUUGUUAAUAUUCUGAACAGUACUGCUUAGUAUGAUCUAAUUGAUGGAUUUUCCAUGGACUCCCUAGAGACUGAAAAAGGUUUGACUGUCAGGAAACUUUUCUUGUGUUUAUUCUUCAAUUUUCCUUUUCCUACUUUCCAAUCAUCAUUCCCUAUUAACAUCCCUUGAUGGGUCACCUUAAGUGAUUAUUCUUUUUAAUGGCAUUUAUAACGUUUAAUAUUUCCCUGUUAAUUUCUAUUCCGACAAAGUACAUAUUUUUUUAAUCUUCACUCAUAACAUUAAUAAAUUUUUCCAACAUUUUAAA